UAUUGAAGAAAGAGGGACACAUAUUUUGGC
Molecule: non-coding RNA, 30 nt
Filed under: Rattus norvegicus (Norway rat)
Lineage: Eukaryota; Metazoa; Chordata; Mammalia; Rodentia; Muridae
Source: RNAcentral